UCUUGUCACCACCACUAGAGGAGGGGCAUUUGUUCAGUCGCAGAGCUCAUGCUUUGCAUAUGGAAUGAUGAUGGAUAUCUGCUAACCUCUCCAGGUAAAAGGAUAAACUGGAAGGUGUGUAAAAGAUGAGAAAGAUGGGAAGGACUGCAGUUCAGUGGCGAGGCAUCAGCUUUUCAUGCAAAAAGUCCCAGUUUCAAUAUCUGGCAUCCUCAGGUAGGGCUGGGAAUGUCCCCUGUCUAAAGCCUUGGGGAACCACUGAUUGGCAGUGUAAACAAUACUGAGCUAGAUGAACCAAUGACCUGACUUAGAAUAACACAGCUCCAUAUGGAUGGAGAAGGGCCUUAGCUCAGCAGCAAAACAUCUGCUUUGCACACAUAAGUUCCCACUUUCCAGCAGCACCAAGCAGGGCUGGGAGAGAUCUGUUUAAAAUCCCAGGGAGCCACUGCCAGCCAGUGUAGGCAAUAUGAGCAAGCUGGCCCAAUAGCUUGACUCAGUAUGAGGCAGCUUCCUAAGUUCUUAUGUUCCUCAGCCAGAGAACUUGAAGAACUGCUUCCGGUCAGUAUAGCUAGAAGAAUAGAAUUACAGAACUGUAGAAUUGGGAGGAAUCUCAACUAAAGCAUCUGAAGUGUAGGUGGGUUCCCAUGAAGGAAGACACAGUGAUAACAGCAAGAAUCUUUAUUGAACUAACAGAACAGGAGCAAAGCAACAACAGGAGCAAAGCAACUGCUUAUAUACAUUUCUGAAGGCCCACUCCCAACAUGAUUCCAAGCUGCGAAUCAUGAUGCAGAGUUUAAGGGCCAAUGGCAGAGGCCCAAAUCCUGAAAUGUUCUGUGACUGGAUAUCAUGUAUUGAAUCAGAACACAGGGGCUCAGAAUCCUUAGUCCAGACUCAAGUUCAGGCAAACAUAGGCCACUGAAUACAUAACAGCAUCCUUGACAGAUGGCUUAAAAACUUCCAAUGAAGGAGAGUCCACAACCUCCCAAUGGAGUCUGUUCCAGGUAAUACUGGGCUAGAUGAACAAGUUGACAUAGUAUAUUGCAGAUUCCUGUCUACAUUCCUCCUGAGGGAAGCAAUACUUUUUGCUUAUGAUUAUGGCAAAAUUCAACUGCCCAUGGUGUCACCUAAGUCUGGGCAGGCAUUCCAGCUCAGAAAUAUAUAUAUAUCUUUGUGUGUGUGUGUGUGUGUGUGCUUGUUUCCUUCCAUGGCUUUUUGAAUCGGUGCAGCUUUAUGCAAAGUCAGGGACUCUGUCUGUUUUCAGCCCUCCCAGAAUGGUAAUGUGUGUCAAAAUGGAUGCUUCUUGGAAUAUACAGCGUGGCUCAGAUAAGCACUUGGAAAUGUGGAGGCUUAACUAAAGCUUAUCUGCUCUAUCCAAACAGCCUGAGCCUGCAUAACUGUGAGGGGCUGUCUCAGAAGAACAGGCUUUAUUGGGAAACUUAAUAGCACUCCUGCUCCUCAACCCAGCCAGAAAUACCAAGCUGUCUCUUUCAUUGUAUAUUCUGGCACGAGAAAGAUGAUGGCACUCUCCCGGUGGAAGCUCCCUCUGCUCUCCCUUCCCGCCCCCUUCUCCUAAUCUCUUGCUUUCUCUACAAAUCCCCCCACAACCACCUCUGCCCCUCUUUCAUGGCAUUUGCUUGGCAUACCUAAUAAGGCACUGAUUAUCCUUCAGAAGUGCAAAUAACUCUUUCCCUUUUAAAUUAAUCCAUGGGGUUGUUGUUUUUUUAAAAAUAAAUAAAUAAAGAAGUACUCCUUGUUAAUAUUGAAGAAGAAUGUUGGAGAUACUCUUCUGCAGUAUGAACAAGGAGUUAUUAUUGGAGAACCAGUGUAGUGUAAUCAGGGCUUUUCCCCCAGCCAGAACUCAAUUCUGGCACCUCCCAGGUGGGCGCCAUUGCCAUUAUAAGAGAACAAGGGAGGCAUUCAUGGUGAGUUUCGCACCUCUUUUCUUUCUGGAAAAAGAGCACUGGGUGUAAUGGUUAGGGUAUCAGAUUAGAAUUUGGGAGACUAGGGUUUAAAUCCCUGCUAGGCCAGGAAGCUCCUUGGGUGACUUGGAGCCAGUCACUGCCUCUCAACCUAACCUACCUCACAGAGUUGCUGUGGGGAUUAAAUGAGAAAUUGGAGAAACAUGUGCACCACCUUGAUAUAAAAUGCAACAAACAAAUGUAAAUAAGGCCCUGUGUGGUGUGAUUUCUUAAGUUUGAAUUUAAACUCACCAGUUCAUCCAUUUCUCCCCAUUUCUAGUGUGUGUGUGUGUGUGUGUGUGUGUGUUUGUGUUUGUGUGUAGGCAGGCAUCCAUACAUAUUUAUAUUGGUUCUCCCCUUGGUGCACCUCUCUCUCUCUCUCUCUCUCUCUCUCUCUCUCUCUCUCUUUCAGUGGGCUAUGGCUGAUAUGCUAUGUUUACAGAAGAAACACAUUCCAUUUACUUCCUCUUUUCCCCCCUUUACCUCUGUUGACAUGGAAACAACUUGACUUGCCUGCCACUUCUAGAAAAGAUGUUUUAGAGAUUCAGAGUAGUUAAACAUUCCACCAGCCUUACGUGCCUGGCAGGCUACAACCCUUGUUUGAAAACUCAGAUGCAAAGCAGGGAUGAAGCUCCACUCGGAUGUCCCCCAAAAUUCCCAGAGCAAACUAAUGGUGCCCCCAGACUGUCAGUAUUUUGUGGGAGGAAUUCAAAUGCACACUGGAAAUUUAGGUUUGUGCAAUUGUAGUAUAGUAAAGCACCCUAGCACAAUGAAUCCACUUUUAAAAACUGCAGCCACAAUAGACUUUUUGCAGUAAGUUAAGGGACAGGGAAAUGCACUGAAAAAUGUGGGAUGAAUCCAUGAGUAAUGCAAAAUCAUGCAAACAUCCCACAAGCAAGCCAGGAUGAAUGCUCAUUGUUGUACAACAGCACUAUAAACAAACCAAAGUUAAUGCUUAAUGAAGUUUGGAAUUAGUCUAACCCCUGCAAAAAAAUUGUGCAAGCAAAUCAGGAUGAGCGGUAUAUAAACAGGCCACAUGGGGCUGGAGGAGCCCUAAAUUGAUGGGUGUUGUUUUUGCUUUGCACAGAGGUCCUGAAUGACAGAAAGAAGGGUGCUCCUUUAUCUUGCCAAAGGGACAAGUUUGCUCCACCCCUUUAGAAAUGAAUGUUAAAUACUCUGGACUUAGACCUCACCUGGAUCAUGGAUGUCACCUGUGGCUCAGUUUUAAAAGAUGUUUUAAAAGAUGACUUUGCCCCCACCUCCAUCAUUCUCAGUACACUUGUACUUUGCUUAAAAGGGUGCAGCCUCUCCAUUAGUCUCAGUGGUAGAGCAUCUACCUUGCAAGCAGAAGGUCUCAGUUUUAAUCCCUGGCAUCUCCAGGUAGGGUUGGGAGAGGCUUCUGUCUGAAAACAGAAAGUCACUGCCUUUCAGCAAGAUGAACUAAUGGUCUGACUCAGCUUCCUAAGGCAGCUUCCUAGAAUCAUAGAAUCAUAGAAUCAGAGUUGGAAGAGACCACAAGGGCCAUCGAGUCCAACCCCCUGCCAAGCAGGAAACACCAUCAGAGCACUCCUGACAUAUGGUUGUCAAGCCUCUGCUUAAAGACCUCCAAAGAAGGAGACUCCACCACACCUCCUUGGCAGCAAAUUCCACUGUCGAACAGCUCUUACUGUCAGGAAGUUCUUCCUAAUGUUUAGGUGGAAUCUUCUUUCUUGUAGUUUGGAUCCAUUGCUCCGUGUCCGCUUCUCUGGAGCAGCAGAAAACAACCUUUCUCCCUCCUCUAUGUGACAUCCUUUUAUAUAUUUGAACAUGGCUAUCAUAUCACCCCCUAACCUCCUCUUCUCCAGGCUAAACAUGCCCAGCUCCCUUAGCCGUUCCUCGUAAGGCAUCGUUUCCAGGCCUUUGACCAUUUUGGUUUCCCUCCUCUGGACACGUUCCAGUUUGUCAGUGUCCUUCUUGAACUGUGGUGCCCAGAACUGGACACAGUACUCCAGGUGAGGUCUGACCAGAGCAGAAUACAGUGGCACUAUUACUUCCCUUGAUCUAGAUGCUAUACUCCUAUUGAUGCAGCCCAGAAUUGCAUUGGCUUUUUUAGCUGCCGCGUCACACUGUUGGCUCAUGUCAAGUUUGUGGUCAACCAAGACUCCUAGAUCCUUUUCACAUGUACUGCUCUCAAGCCAGGUGUCCCCCAUCUUGUAUUUGUGCCUCUCAUUUUUUUGCCCAAGUGCAAUACUUUACAUUUCUCCCUGUUAAAAUUCAUCUUGUUUGUUUUGGCCCAGUUCUCUAAUCUGUCAAGGUCGUUUUGAAGUGUCAUCCUGUCCUCUGGGGUGUUAGCCACCCCUCCCAGUUUGGUGUCAUCUGCAAAUUUGAUCAGGAUGCCAUUGAGUCCAUCAUCCAAGUCGUUGAUAAAGAUGUUGAUAUUCUUCUAUAUAUGACAAUGGAGCAGGGAAAUUUCUGGUUACGCUGAAUCCUCUGUGGAGUCCUCAAAGUCAUCUCCACAUCCUUUGGCUGAGGGGGAUACCGACCCAGUAAGCUCAUCACAUGAUGAGGCUUCUGGGAUGGGCCUGUCCCCUUCUGUUUCAGAGUACUCUGCUCCACCACCGGAAGGGGACUCACUCUUAUUCCCUGACAACACCUUUCAUGUCUGGCUUGGUCAUGUCCACAGAAUGGAAGAUGACAGGAUCCCCAAUGACGUGCUCUGCAGGGAGCUGUCUUCUGGCACCAGGCCAAUUGGCAGACCAGCUCUACAUUACAAAGAUGUCUGCAAACGUGACAUGAAGGCUGGCAACAUCAGCCCGUCCAUGUGGGAAUCCUCCAGUGCCUGGAGACAGGCAGUCAAGUCCUGUAUCCAUAGCAGUGACCAGAGGAGGAAUGACUGCUGGGAGGAGCGCAGGGAGAAAAACAACAACAUGGUGCAUCUGCUGCAGCACAACAGGACACCAUCUGCUCCAGCUGCAACAAAACCUGUCUCUUGCAUUUCAGUCUCUACAGCCACAGCAGGCACUGCAACCUGCCAACAGCUUGACUUCACCCCCAAAGGCACACUCCUCUACUGUCUCACAAGACAGAUGGAUGCCAACAAGUGGGGCGGGGGGAUCAGACACUUUCUCGCCUCACUUUUUAUUGAGUGGGAAAGGCAGAGAUAAGUUAAUGUUGGAGCUAGGGUAGUGUUAGCCAUAGGGGAGGCAGAGAUAUUCACAUCUCUCACACCCAUCAUAUAUCAUUUCAGGUUCAGGUGUUGGGGAAAGCAAAACUGGCUCCAGGUUUGAGAAGAGCCCAGCAACACAUUGCCUUCAGAUGGGGCUCCAUCAGGUUCAGAUCUGCAGUUGGGCAUGAAGGUCACUGGGUGACCUAGGACCAGUCACAACCUCUCAGCCAAGCCUACCUCACAAGAUUGUUGUGAUGAUGAAAUGGAGGGGAAAGGAAAAGAGCUAUGUAUACUGCCUUGAGCUCCCCGGAGGAAAGGUUACAUAUAAAUAUAGCGAGUAAAUAAACAACAGAAUCCACAAAGACAUUUACACAUCCUUAUGAUUUGCUUCAGUUGUUAAUACGUAUGUUAAAAUUCUGUAUGGUUUUAAACUUGAUUGUAAGUCUUCUAGAGAUUGCCCUAUCUUAGGCAAGUAAAUAAUAAUGAUGAUGAUAAAAUCAUUACUCAAGAAGUGUAGCUUUAAAAAGUCAUAGAAGAACUUUAUUCAGUCUAAAUUGUUUCCCCUCAACUCUAGCAUUCAAAAAUUUCUUUCUUUCACUCUUUCUUUCUUUCCCCUAUAGCUUGAAAUGAAAUGAUUAAGGCCAGUUAUUUGCAGCUCACAACUGCUUUUCUCUCCAUUAGACACAUGGAAGAAAAGGGCACUGGCAGGUACCCUGGCGUGGCAUUUACUUUUGCCUACUUGACAUUGCGAGUGCCAAGCAUUCGUCUAGCAUUCAAAUCCCAGUGGAUGACUUUCCAGAGUAUGCCCCCCUCCCUCGCAACGCUUAGACACUGCUCAUCAGAGUUCUGGCAUUCAGUCAAACAGGCAUUUGUCAUGGCUUAUAAUGCUUGUUAAUGAAGAAGCAUCAAAAAUUAAUGCUCAUUAGGAUGCUCAUUAAUAUGUAUGGAAAUCCUGGAUUUGACUUAAUUAAAUGAAGCAUCACUUCAUGUUGGCAUCCCAUCACCAAAAUUAAAAAAUGUGUGGGUGGGUGAGGGAGAACUAGCAUACUGUACAACAGUGAAAUUAAUGAACAUGGGCCUGCCCACUUUUCCCUCUGGCCCCAGCCCACACUGGUAUGUGGCCCUGGGGAGGUUGACCACAAGGGAAUGUGGCCCUCGAGCUAAAAAGAUCUCUCUGUCCUCCUGGUGUAGGCAAUAAUAAGCUAGAGUCUGGACACUAAAUGAACCCAUAGCCUGUUUCAGUAGAAGGCAGCUUUUGUUUUCACAGUUUUCACAGAAGUUAAACUUGCUUGUUAGCAAGGCAUUUUAAGUAUUUUUAAGUGUGGGAUUGGAUAGGAUUGCCUUGCUGUUUUUAGCUGCCUUCCUCUGUGUUAUUAGCAUUUGUUUUGAUUAGUCUGUUUCAAUGUUUUAUUGCUGUACAAAUUUGGCUGUCGAUCCUGCCAUAUAUUGCAUCCUGCUCUGGUAUCAGUGUUGAUGAAGUGUUCAGUAUAAAUGUGUUUAAUAUAUAGAAUAUAUAAUGUACUCCUUGUAAGUUCCUCCAGAGAUUGCUCCACAACUUGUGUGCUCCCAGUCCAGCUGAAAAAGGACACCAUUAAAACUGAAAUCUCUCUUCUCUCUCUCUCUUUUGUUCUGUCAACACAUGAGGUGGAUUUGACUUCAUAAAUGAUAUGAAGAAUGCGAGAAAAAAUGUAUUCUGUUCAUCAUGAAUAAGAAAUGAACAGAAUAAUUUAAUAUACAUACAUUAAUGGCAUCUGCCUUGAUACCAGUGUCAAUGUCUUCUGCAUUGUGCUGUAUCCAUUCUUGUUGACUAGCAGUAAAGUAGCAUUUUUGGUAGGUCUAGACAGAGUGAAUUUCCAUAAGAAUGGGCUGAUCACAUUUGCUUUCCUCUGCAGAUCCUUUCUCUCUUUGAUAUAUCCUACAUUUUCAUUUUAUUUUUGUGCAUUUAAACAGCUUCCAGCAUCAUUUGUUCUUUGGACUAUAAAAGCAAAAUCAGUGAGUACCUCAAAUGUCAGGGUGAUCUGUAUAAUUCUCUAGCUUAUUAAUAGAAUUGACAAAAAUGUGAGCUUCUUCCAUGACUCGCUGAACUAGUUAACAGUAACUUGUUUCCUGAAUGGUGUUGAAGAAAACCAACCAGCCAUACGCUAGUAGAUUAAGUUGGAUUUUUAUUUAUGGUGUUUGUCAAUUGUACCCCCCCCCCCCCCAAAUCUAUGAAGUCUACAGCAUCUGACAGGAACACCAGUUUGCACCGAAGGUAUGAAAUCACUUUCAGAUUUCACUAAGAAGUAGAACACCAACAAACUUGUCAACCUUUGAAGUGUGGUGUUGAUGUUUGAAUCUUCCUUGUUUCAAAGUUAUCUUACUUGGAACCUUUCCCCUUCUGCAUCAGAAUAUUAAGGCCAUAUCUGUAAACAAUGCAGUGGUACCUCUGGUUAUGAACUUAAUUCAUUCUAGAGGUCUCUUCUUAACCUGAAACCGUUCUUAACCUGAGGUACCACUUUAGCCGGUGCGUGAUUUCUGUUUUCAUCCUGAGGUAAAGUUCUUAACCUGAGGUACUACUUCUGGGUUAGCGGAGUCUGUAACCCGAAGUGUUUGUAACCCAAGGUGUUUGUCACCUGAGGUACCACUGUAAUUGAGAUUUCCCUCUUCACUGACUUUUUCAUCUAUACACUUUUAGAAAGCAGGUCAAGAGAGACACUACUUUUGGUAGGUUUUAGGAGGAGGGGUGGGGUGGGGGUGAAUAAUUGUUAGUUGAUUUUUCACAGCAGAAUUAUGAUUUGAUUUGAGACUCUUAUUAUGCUUUUCGAACAACAAUGUUGUGCUCAAAGUUGCUAACAAUAAUAACUACAGCAUUAGCCAACAUUUCUAUCAACAUAGUAAUGCCCUGAGCUCCUUGGAAGAAAAGGUGGUUUAUAAAUGUAAUGUAAUAAUAAAUAAUCAUUUUUUUUAAACCACUAGUGCAUAAAUAAAGCAAAAACAAACAGAUUCAGGAAAUGAUUAAUGCGGCUGCUGAGCAUUGCCUGAAAUUGAUGGAGGAUUUAAUGCUCCCCUUUUUCUUCUGUGUUGAGUUAUAAAAAUGUGUGUGUGUGUGCUAUUUUGUUUCAUUUUAUAGGUGUAGGUUCUGGGGUCUGUUGGCAUAGAUGAUAAAACAAAAAAAAGCUUAAACAAACAAACAUUCUAUAGCAGUGGUUCCCCAUUAGGGGUCUGGGGACCUCUGAGGGUCCACGUAACACACCCAAGGGAUCCCUGGCACCAUCCCCUGCCUGGGACUCACUUAUUUUGUUAAUUGCACAGUGAAAGCCUUGCACGGAUCAUCCAGCCUCUGCUCACAACCAACACCUGCUUGCUGGCAGGGGGAAAAACUUGUGAAAGAUUUGCUGGAUAGCAAGUGAGCUGGGAUUGGGCACAAACCUCUGAUACAGUUUCUUAGGGCUCUUGCGAUUGGAGGGGGGAGAGUGCAAACAGCUCACAUGCUUAUCAUUCAAAACAAUGUAAGGGAUCCCUUCUCCUCACUCUCUAGUUUUUAAUUGAAAAGAAAUAAGUGCUUUCAAUGACUAACAAGUUUAAAUGACUCUCUCACUGCUUGUAGGUAGGGUUUCAGUGAAUCUUGCUUUAUGAGAUUGGGAUUCAUGUCUCAUCUUGGAAGUACAACAUGGGAAAUAGCUAAGCAAAUUGCCACUAUGAUUAGCACAACAGCUCAGCCUCUGAUGAUAUAGUUUAGUGCUAGGGCUGGGCAAAACUUUUCAACAUUGUGAUAUAUCAACAGCUAAAUACUAGCAUAUGCCAAUAUAUCACGAUGACUGAAACUACUACUACUAUUACCAACAUUACACAAUUCCAGCUGUUUUCUACUCAGUCUUCACCAAUACUUUAUCAGGCCCUGAACAAGCCUUCACCUAUGUCUUGAGGAUGCACUCAGCAGAACCAUAUGCUGCAAAGUUUUGCUAAGAUGUACCAUCUCAGAUUACAAGUAAGGAAUAGCAUGUUUGAAUACUCUCUCAUAUAAAAAGCCUUCUGCAUAUAGAACGCUUGCAAGUUAGGGACACUUGCUUUUUAAAAUUUAGUUGUAGUGGAGCAAUGGAGACAUGUUUUUCCUACUGUCUGUGGAUUGGCAAUUUGUGGGAAUAUCACAAAUUUUAUGGUCUGUUUUACAGUAUACCUAAAAUCCUUUGCUUAUUAGGGGUUAUCCCACAUUUUCUUAC
RNAcentral lists this long non-coding RNA (9299 nucleotides) under Podarcis lilfordi (Lilford's wall lizard). The record is from RNAcentral. Lineage: Eukaryota; Metazoa; Chordata; Lepidosauria; Squamata; Lacertidae.